This 497-nucleotide ribosomal RNA is filed under the name uncultured bacterium. RNAcentral describes it as "partial 16S ribosomal RNA". It matches the Rfam family "Bacterial small subunit ribosomal RNA", at positions 28 to 507 of the family's 1533-position model. The record is from RNAcentral.
GAUGAACGCUGGCGGCGUGCCUAAUACAUGCAAGUCGAGCGAACAGACGAGGAGCUUGCUCCUCUGACGUUAGCGGCGGACGGGUGAGUAACACGUGGAUAACCUACCUAUAAGACUGGGAUAACUUCGGGAAACCGGAGCUAAUACCGGAUAAUAUAUUGAACCGCAUGGUUCAAUAGCGAAAGACGGUUUUGCUGUCACUUAUAGAUGGAUCCGCGCCGCAUUAGCUAGUUGGUAAGGUAACGGCUUACCAAGGCAACGAUGCGUAGCCGACCUGAGAGGGUGAUCGGCCACACUGGAACUGCGACACGGUCCAGACCCCUACGGGAGGCAGCAGUCGGGAAUCUUCCGCAAUGGGCGAGAGCUUGACGGAGCAACGCCGCGUGCGUGAUGAAGGUCUUCGGAUCGUAAAACUCUGUUAUUAGGGAAGAACAAAUUUGUAAGUAACUAUGCACGUCUUGACGGUACCUAAUCAGAAAGCCACGGCUAACUACGUG